UACGGAGGGGGCAAGCGUUGUUCGGAAUUACUGGGCGUAAAGGGCGCGUAGGCGGCGAGGCAAGUUGGGCGUGAAAGCCCUGGGCUUAACCCAGGAAUUGCGCUUGAGACUGCCUUGCUUGAGUGCGGGAGAGGUGAGUGGAAUUCCCAGUGUAGAGGUGAAAUUCGUAGAUAUUGGGAAGAACACCAGUGGCGAAGGCGGCUCACUGGCCCGCAACUGACGCUGAGGCGCGAAAGCGUGGGGAGCAAAC
Molecule: ribosomal RNA, 250 nt
Filed under: uncultured bacterium
Lineage: Bacteria
Description: partial 16S ribosomal RNA
Rfam family: Bacterial small subunit ribosomal RNA
Source: RNAcentral